AAUAGAUACCCAGGUAGUCCACGCCGUAAACGAUGGAUACUAGCUGUUUGAGCGCAAGUUUGAGUGGCUAAGCGAAAGUGAUAAGUAUCCCACCUGGGGAGUACGGGCGCAAGCCUGAAACUCAAAGGAAUUGACGGGGGCCCGCACAAGCGGUGGAGCAUGUGGUUUAAUUCGAUGAUACGCGAGGAACCUUACCAGGGCUUAAAUGUAGAUUGACGUAUUUGGAAACAGAUAUUUCUUCGGACAAUUUACAAGGUGCUGCAUGGUUGUCGUCAGCUCGUGCCGUGAGGUGCCAGGUUAAGUCCUAUAACGAGCGCAACCCCUGUUGUUAGUUGCCAGCGAGUAAUGUCGGGAACUCUAGCAAGACUGCCAGUGUAAACUGUGAGGAAGGUGGGGAUGACGUCAAAUCAUCACGGCCCUUACGUCCUGGGCCACACACGUGCUACAAUGGCCGGUACAGAGAGCAGCCACUUAGCGAUAAGGAGCGAAUCUAUAAAAGCCGGUCACAGUUCGGAUCGGAAGUCUG
RNAcentral lists this ribosomal RNA (526 nucleotides) under uncultured bacterium. Its description in RNAcentral is "bacterial SSU rRNA". It matches the Rfam family "Bacterial small subunit ribosomal RNA", at positions 777 to 1307 of the family's 1533-position model. The record is from RNAcentral.